AGUGAACGCUGGCGGUAGGCCUAACACAUGCAUGUCGAACGGCAGCACAGUAAGAGCUUGCUCUUACGGGUGGCGAGUGGCGGACGGGUGAGGAAUACAUCGGAAUCUACUUUUUCGUGGGGGAUAACGUAGGGAAACUUACGCUAAUACCGCAUACGACCUACGGGUGAAAGCAGGGGAUCUUCGGACCUUGCGCGAUUGAAUGAGCCGAUGUCGGAUUAGCUAGUUGGCGGGGUAAAGGCCCACCAAGGCGACGAUCCGUAGCUGGUCUGAGAGGAUGAUCAGCCACACUGGAACUGAGACACGGUCCAGACUCCUACGGGAGGCAGCAGUGGGGAAUAUUGGACAAUGGGCGCAAGCCUGAUCCAGCCACACCGCGUGGGUGAAGAAGGCCUUCGGGUUGUAAAGCCCUUUUGUUGGGAAAGAAAAGCAGCAGGUUAAUACCCCGCUGUUCUGACGGUACCCAAAGAAUAAGCACCGGCUAACUUCGUG
This 492-nucleotide ribosomal RNA is filed under the name uncultured bacterium. RNAcentral's name for it is "partial 16S ribosomal RNA". It matches the Rfam family "Bacterial small subunit ribosomal RNA", at positions 29 to 507 of the family's 1533-position model. The record is from RNAcentral.